GACCGGAAGGAACGAACCUCCCGUGUAUCAGUUGUCACGUCAGUGGCAGUGCUGAGUAGCGGCGUUCGGACGGGAUAAGUGCUGAAAGCAUAUAAGCACGAAGCCUCCCUCAAGAUUAGAUCUCGUAGCUCCCUAGAAGAUUACUAGGUUGAUAGGCUCUAGAUGUAAGCGCCGUAAGGCGUUGAGUCGAGGAGUACUAAUCGAGCAUGUUCACGAAAGC
RNAcentral lists this ribosomal RNA (220 nucleotides) under bacterium. RNAcentral's name for it is "partial 23S ribosomal RNA". It matches the Rfam family "Bacterial large subunit ribosomal RNA", at positions 2690 to 2925 of the family's 2925-position model. The record is from RNAcentral.